Molecule: long non-coding RNA, 2346 nt
Filed under: Pelobates cultripes (western spadefoot toad)
Lineage: Eukaryota; Metazoa; Chordata; Amphibia; Anura; Pelobatidae
Source: RNAcentral
CUUUCGCGAUCCUCACUUUGGAAAUCACAGUGAGAAGACGAUGGACGUUCAUAGGAAAGCAUUGAGUAAUGCUUUCCUAUGGGCGGUUUGAAUGUGCGCGCGGCUCUUGCCGUGCAUGCGCAUUCGGAGCUGACGUCGGCAGCGGGAGGAGAGGUCACCAGCGCAGAGGCAGCCCGGCGCUGGAGAAAGGUAAGUGGCUUGAGCCCAGCGGGAGGGGGUCCCUGAGGGUGGGGGGGACCUAAUGACCCUAUAGUGCCAGGAAAAUUAGUUUGUUUUCCUGGCACUAUAGUGGUCCUUUAAAGAUUGCUUACCUAGAUUUUAGUAAGACUUUUGACACUGUUCCACUUAGAAGGCUUAUCAAUAAUCUGCAAUGUCUACUGCACCACCCUGAUCUAUUAUUUUAGUUACCCAAUCAAAAAAAUCAAUAAGAUUUGUUUGGCAUGAUCUCCCUGAAGUAAACCCAUGUUGUCUCUUGAAAUCCAUGUGAUUUUAGAUGUUUAACAAUCCUUUCCUUUAAUAUGGUUUACAUUCCUUUCCCCACUGCUGAAGUAAGGCUUACUGGCCUGUAGUUGCCUGACUCCUCCCUACUACCUUUCUUGUGAAUAGGCACAACAUUCGGUAACUUCCAAUCUUCCGGGACUACUCCGGUUAACAAUGAUUGGUUAAAUAAAUCUGUUAAUGGUUUCGCUAGUUCACCACUAAGUACUUUUAAUAACUUUGGGUGUAUCCCAUCACCCCAUCGACUUAUUUGUCUUUACUUUUGACAGUUGAAAUAGAACCUCUUCCUCUCUAAACUCACAUGUAGCAAAUGACUAAUUUUUCCUUUUUCUUAACUGAAGUCCCUCAGCUUGACAUUUAUCCUCGUCUACAUACCUUCCUUCUUUUGUUUUUAAUCUAACUAAUCCUUGUUUUACUUUCCUUUUCUCAUUUAUGUAUCUAUAAAAUGUUUUAUCCCCCUUUUCUACUGACUGUGCUAUGCUCUCUUCUGUGUGUGUUUUGGAGGCUCUUAUAACUUGCUUAGCCUCUUUUUGCCUAAUCUUAUAGAUCUGUCUGUCUUCCUCACUCUGGUUUUCUUUUAUAAUUAGAUGCAUAUUUAAAAAAAAAAAAAAAUCUGACACAAAAGUAGUGGCUGCAGCUGGUAAUGUUAAGUUUCACAUCAAUGCAAACUGAAAUGGUUAUUCCAAAGCCAUGACCACUUUUGUGUUUUUAAACGCUGUACGCAGAUAUAGCACAUUGCUGUCGGAGAUGUAACCUCCAGCAGCGCCAUUAGCCAGCUCUAAGGAAGAGUUCCGGGCUGGCUAAUGUUAAUUCUCUCCAUAAAUGGGGUCUGUCAGCACGCAUAGCAUGCUGGCAACAGACAUCCAAUGGUAGCAUGCCCCCCUCCUUUGCUGCCCGAUUUGUUCACUUAGCCUACCUUCCCACUGCAGUGAAGGGAAGUGAUGUCCUCUGAGGAGGAUCAGACUGCAGGGAGAACCUGGCCUCAGUGUGGGAUUGUCAUUUUUUUUUUUUUUUUUUACAGAAGGGAUCAUGCCAGCAUGGGUUGCUCCAUCCAAAAAAGGGUUACCUUAAAGGUUUACUCCAACCAAAAACUGUGUUUUAUUAAAACACAGUUUUUGGUUGGAGUAACCCUUUAAGAUAAAAUUGUGCAUUUACCAGAUAUGGGCGUAGUCGUGAGCACAUUUUGUGAAUAGCAGAUGCACACUAAACAUUCCGUUAUGGUUGUACGAUGUUUAAUCAUUAUGUGCAUUUAUGGCUCUGUUUGCCAAACAGGUUGUUCCUUGUAUAAUGCAAGUAAGAGACUAAUAUAACAUAUUUUAUAAAUUCAUUCCUUGCACUAUAACACACUAUAACACAUAAACCAAGCAAACCCUGAUGCUAUAGGCAGUAAAAUAACAGCAGAAAAGUGUAUUCCUUUCAAGAAAUAAAAGCUUUUCUACAUUAUAUUAAUACUCUCUUAAUCCCAGCUGUUCUAUGUAAAAUUUUCAGUUUUAUAUAAUGUUUGAAUCGUUGUUAUUAAAAUGCUGUUUCUCCGAUUCUUCUAAAUGCGACUUUAUCCUAAUGUUUUCUCAUACUAAAUUCCAAAUCUAAAGUAAUCUUACCAAGUGAUUAGAAGUUGAAUUUGCUGAGCAGACUACUGCUGGAGAUUGAGUAAUAUAUCUUUGUGCAGUGUGUGCAGUUUCUUACAACAAACAACAUCCUUAAUUUCAGAUGGGUAAAAUUGCCUGGAUUGUGACAUUUUAUUCCUUUCCGUAAAAUCCCACUUCGGUCUGGAACAUAUUGAUGUAUUUAAAUGGAACCCAAAGUCGAAGAGGCAAUUUCUGGUAGUCCAGCCAAUUGGCUUUCUCU